CGGUAAGGCCCUUCGGGGUACACGAGUGGCGAACGGGUGAGUAACACGUGGGUAAUCUGCCCUGCACAUCGGGAUAAGCCUGGGAAACUGGGUCUAAUACCGAAUAGGACCACAGAACACAUGUCCUGUGGUGGAAAGCUUUUGCGGUGUGGGAUGGGCCCGCGGCCUAUCAGCUUGUUGGUGGGGUGAUGGCCCACCAAGGCGACGACGGGUAGCCGGCCUGAGAGGGUGUCCGGCCACACUGGGACUGAGAUACGGCCCAGACUCCUACGGGAGGCAGCAGUGGGGAAUAUUGCACAAUGGGCGAAAGCCUGAUGCAGCGACGCCGCGUGGGGGAUGACGGCCUUCGGGUUGUAAACCUCUUUCACCAUCGACGAAGGUUCGGGUUUUCUCGGGCUGACGGUAGGUGGAGAAGAAGCACCGGCCAACUACGUGCCAGCAGCCGCGGUAAUACGUAGGGUGCGAGCGUUGUCCGGAAUUACUGGGCGUAAAGAGCUCGUAGGUGGUUUGUCGCGUUGUUCGUGAAAUCUCACGGCUUAACUGUGAGCGUGCGGGCGAUACGGGCAGACUUGAGUACUGCAGGGGAGACUGGAAUUCCUGGUGUAGCGGUGGAAUGCGCAGAUAUCAGGAGGAACACCGGUGGCGAAGGCGGGUCUCUGGGCAGUAACUGACGCUGAGGAGCGAAAGCGUGGGGAGCGAACAGGAUUAGAUACCCUGGUAGUCCACGCCGUAAACGGUGGGUACUAGGUGUGGGUUUCCUUCCUUGGGAUCCGUGCCGUAGCUAACGCAUUAAGUACCCCGCCUGGGGAGUACGGCCGCAAGGCUAAAACUCAAAGAAAUUGACGGGGGCCCGCACAAGCGGCGGAGCAUGUGGAUUAAUUCGAUGCAACGCGAAGAACCUUACCUGGGUUUGACAUGCACAGGACGCCGGCAGAGAUGUCGGUUCCCUUGUGGCCUGUGUGCAGGUGG
This 969-nucleotide ribosomal RNA is filed under the name Mycobacterium paragordonae. RNAcentral describes it as "bacterial SSU rRNA". It matches the Rfam family "Bacterial small subunit ribosomal RNA", at positions 67 to 1041 of the family's 1533-position model. Lineage: Bacteria; Bacillati; Actinomycetota; Actinomycetes; Mycobacteriales; Mycobacteriaceae. The record is from RNAcentral.